ACUCAAAGGAAUUGACGGGGCCCCGCACAAGCAGCGGAGCGUGUGGUUUAAUUCGAGGCUACGCGAAGAACCUUACCUAGGUUUGACAUCUGGCGCUAUCCUGUGAAAGCAGGAGUUCCGCAAGGACGCCAAGACAGGUGCUGCAUGGCUGUCGUCAGCUCGUGUCGUGAGAUGUUCGGUUAAGUCCGAAAACGAGCGCAACCCCCGGGUCUAGUUACAAGUGUCUAGACCGACUGCCUGCGACAAGUGGGAGGAAGGUGGGGAUGACGUCAAGUCAGCAUGGCCUUUACAUCUAGGGCUACACACACGCUACAAUGGCGCGUACAGUGGGAAGCAAGACCGCGAGGUGGAGCGAAUCCUGAAAGCGCGUCGUAGUUCGGAUUGCAGGCUGCAACUCGCCUGCAUGAAGCUGGAGUUGCUAGUAAACGUAGGUCAGCACACUACGUUGAAUACGUUCUCGGGGCUUGUACACACCGCCCGU
RNAcentral lists this ribosomal RNA (481 nucleotides) under uncultured bacterium. Its description in RNAcentral is "partial 16S ribosomal RNA". It matches the Rfam family "Bacterial small subunit ribosomal RNA", at positions 899 to 1397 of the family's 1533-position model. The record is from RNAcentral.